Molecule: ribosomal RNA, 2892 nt
Filed under: Escherichia coli
Lineage: Bacteria; Pseudomonadati; Pseudomonadota; Gammaproteobacteria; Enterobacterales; Enterobacteriaceae
Description: bacterial LSU rRNA
Rfam family: Bacterial large subunit ribosomal RNA
Source: RNAcentral
ACUAAGCGUACACGGUGGAUGCCCUGGCAGUCAGAGGCGAUGAAGGACGUGCUAAUCUGCGAUAAGCGUCGGUAAGGUGAUAUGAACCGUUAUAACCGGCGAUUUCCGAAUGGGGAAACCCAGUGUGAUUCGUCACACUAUCAUUAACUGAAUCCAUAGGUUAAUGAGGCGAACCGGGGGAACUGAAACAUCUAAGUACCCCGAGGAAAAGAAAUCAACCGAGAUUCCCCCAGUAGCGGCGAGCGAACGGGGAGGAGCCCAGAGCCUGAAUCAGUGUGUGUGUUAGUGGAAGCGUCUGGAAAGGCGCGCGAUACAGGGUGACAGCCCCGUACACAAAAAUGCACAUGCUGUGAGCUCGAUGAGUAGGGCGGGACACGUGGUAUCCUGUCUGAAUAUGGGGGGACCAUCCUCCAAGGCUAAAUACUCCUGACUGACCGAUAGUGAACCAGUACCGUGAGGGAAAGGCGAAAAGAACCCCGGCGAGGGGAGUGAAAAAGAACCUGAAACCGUGUACGUACAAGCAGUGGGAGCCUCUUUUAUGGGGUGACUGCGUACCUUUUGUAUAAUGGGUCAGCGACUUAUAUUCUGUAGCAAGGUUAACCGAAUAGGGGAGCCGAAGGGAAACCGAGUCUUAACUGGGCGUUAAGUUGCAGGGUAUAGACCCGAAACCCGGUGAUCUAGCCAUGGGCAGGUUGAAGGUUGGGUAACACUAACUGGAGGACCGAACCGACUAAUGUUGAAAAAUUAGCGGAUGACUUGUGGCUGGGGGUGAAAGGCCAAUCAAACCGGGAGAUAGCUGGUUCUCCCCGAAAGCUAUUUAGGUAGCGCCUCGUGAAUUCAUCUCCGGGGGUAGAGCACUGUUUCGGCAAGGGGGUCAUCCCGACUUACCAACCCGAUGCAAACUGCGAAUACCGGAGAAUGUUAUCACGGGAGACACACGGCGGGUGCUAACGUCCGUCGUGAAGAGGGAAACAACCCAGACCGCCAGCUAAGGUCCCAAAGUCAUGGUUAAGUGGGAAACGAUGUGGGAAGGCCCAGACAGCCAGGAUGUUGGCUUAGAAGCAGCCAUCAUUUAAAGAAAGCGUAAUAGCUCACUGGUCGAGUCGGCCUGCGCGGAAGAUGUAACGGGGCUAAACCAUGCACCGAAGCUGCGGCAGCGACACUGUGUGUUGUUGGGUAGGGGAGCGUUCUGUAAGCCUGUGAAGGUGUGCUGUGAGGCAUGCUGGAGGUAUCAGAAGUGCGAAUGCUGACAUAAGUAACGAUAAAGCGGGUGAAAAGCCCGCUCGCCGGAAGACCAAGGGUUCCUGUCCAACGUUAAUCGGGGCAGGGUGAGUCGACCCCUAAGGCGAGGCCGAAAGGCGUAGUCGAUGGGAAACAGGUUAAUAUUCCUGUACUUGGUGUUACUGCGAAGGGGGGACGGAGAAGGCUAUGUUGGCCGGGCGACGGUUGUCCCGGUUUAAGCGUGUAGGCUGGUUUUCCAGGCAAAUCCGGAAAAUCAAGGCUGAGGCGUGAUGACGAGGCACUACGGUGCUGAAGCAACAAAUGCCCUGCUUCCAGGAAAAGCCUCUAAGCAUCAGGUAACAUCAAAUCGUACCCCAAACCGACACAGGUGGUCAGGUAGAGAAUACCAAGGCGCUUGAGAGAACUCGGGUGAAGGAACUAGGCAAAAUGGUGCCGUAACUUCGGGAGAAGGCACGCUGAUAUGUAGGUGAAGUCCCUCGCGGAUGGAGCUGAAAUCAGUCGAAGAUACCAGCUGGCUGCAACUGUUUAUUAAAAACACAGCACUGUGCAAACACGAAAGUGGACGUAUACGGUGUGACGCCUGCCCGGUGCCGGAAGGUUAAUUGAUGGGGUCAGCGCAAGCGAAGCUCUUGAUCGAAGCCCCGGUAAACGGCGGCCGUAACUAUAACGGUCCUAAGGUAGCGAAAUUCCUUGUCGGGUAAGUUCCGACCUGCACGAAUGGCGUAAUGAUGGCCAGGCUGUCUCCACCCGAGACUCAGUGAAAUUGAACUCGCUGUGAAGAUGCAGUGUACCCGCGGCAAGACGGAAAGACCCCGUGAACCUUUACUAUAGCUUGACACUGAACAUUGAGCCUUGAUGUGUAGGAUAGGUGGGAGGCUUUGAAGUGUGGACGCCAGUCUGCAUGGAGCCGACCUUGAAAUACCACCCUUUAAUGUUUGAUGUUCUAACGUGGACCCGUGAUCCGGGUUGCGGACAGUGUCUGGUGGGUAGUUUGACUGGGGCGGUCUCCUCCUAAAGAGUAACGGAGGAGCACGAAGGUUGGCUAAUCCUGGUCGGACAUCAGGAGGUUAGUGCAAUGGCAUAAGCCAGCUUGACUGCGAGCGUGACGGCGCGAGCAGGUGCGAAAGCAGGUCAUAGUGAUCCGGUGGUUCUGAAUGGAAGGGCCAUCGCUCAACGGAUAAAAGGUACUCCGGGGAUAACAGGCUGAUACCGCCCAAGAGUUCAUAUCGACGGCGGUGUUUGGCACCUCGAUGUCGGCUCAUCACAUCCUGGGGCUGAAGUAGGUCCCAAGGGUAUGGCUGUUCGCCAUUUAAAGUGGUACGCGAGCUGGGUUUAGAACGUCGUGAGACAGUUCGGUCCCUAUCUGCCGUGGGCGCUGGAGAACUGAGGGGGGCUGCUCCUAGUACGAGAGGACCGGAGUGGACGCAUCACUGGUGUUCGGGUUGUCAUGCCAAUGGCACUGCCCGGUAGCUAAAUGCGGAAGAGAUAAGUGCUGAAAGCAUCUAAGCACGAAACUUGCCCCGAGAUGAGUUCUCCCUGACCCUUUAAGGGUCCUGAAGGAACGUUGAAGACGACGACGUUGAUAGGCCGGGUGUGUAAGCGCAGCGAUGCGUUGAGCUAACCGGUACUAAUGAACCGUGAGGCUUAACC